RNAcentral lists this long non-coding RNA (272 nucleotides) under Rosa chinensis. Its description in RNAcentral is "sRNA RchiOBHm_Chr2g0126101". The record is from RNAcentral. Lineage: Eukaryota; Viridiplantae; Streptophyta; Magnoliopsida; Rosales; Rosaceae.
CUGAAAGUCUAACCUCUUUUGGUGAUGACAAAUUUCUUCCUCUUUUGAAGCUGUGGUAGAAAAAAGAAGAAGAGGGAUUGAAAUCGGCAAGGUUCUAAAGUUUGAUUGAAAUCAGUAAGGUUCGAAAGUUUGAAGCUGUGGUAGAAAGGAGAAGAAGAGGGAUUGAAAUGGUUCUAAAUAUUGUUCACUGGAAUAUCUAGGAAAGAAGAAUAAUGACUGAAAUUGAUCACCUUAGUGACUUGGUCAUGCUCAAUUUUGUGGUGUACUGAUGA